This 165-nucleotide ribosomal RNA is filed under the name uncultured bacterium. RNAcentral's name for it is "partial 16S rRNA". It matches the Rfam family "Bacterial small subunit ribosomal RNA", at positions 355 to 511 of the family's 1533-position model. The record is from RNAcentral.
UAGGGAAUCUUCGGCAAUGGACGAAAGCCUGACCGAGCAACGCCGCGUGAGUGAAGAAGGUUUUCGGAUCGUAAAACUCUGUUGGUAGAGAAGAACGUUGGUGAGAGUGGAAAGCUCAUCAAGUGACGGUAACUACCCAGAAAGGGACGGCUAACUACGUGCCUG